Molecule: ribosomal RNA, 409 nt
Filed under: Actinomycetes bacterium
Lineage: Bacteria; Bacillati; Actinomycetota; Actinomycetes
Description: Actinobacteria bacterium partial 16S ribosomal RNA
Rfam family: Bacterial small subunit ribosomal RNA
Source: RNAcentral
UGGGGAAUAUUGCACAAUGGGCGGAAGCCUGAUGCAGCGACGCCGCGUGGGGGAUGAAGGCCUUCGUGUUGUAAACUCCUUUCGACAGGGACGAAGCUUUUGUGACGGUACCUGUAUAAGAAGCACCGGCUAACUACGUGCCAGCAGCCGCGGUAAUACGUAGGGUGCGAGCGUUGUCCGGAAUUACUGGGCGUAAAGAGCUCGUAGGUGGUUUGUCGCGUCGUCUGUGAAAUUCCGGGGCUUAACUCCGGGCGUGCAGGCGAUACGGGCUGACUUGAGUGCUGUAGGGGAGACUGGAAUUCCUGGUGUAGCGGUGAAAUGCGCAGAUAUCAGGAGGAACACCGAUGGCGAAGGCAGGUCUCUGGGCAGUAACUGACGCUGAGGAGCGAAAGCAUGGGUAGCGAACAGG